CCUACGGGAGGCAGCAGUGGGGAAUAUUGGACAAUGGGGGGAACCCUGAUCCAGCGACGCCGCGUGAGUGAAGAAGUAUUUCGGUAUGUAAAGCUCUAUCAGCAGGGAAGGAAGAAAUGACGGUACCUGACUAAGAAGCCCCGGCUAACUACGUGCCAGCAGCCGCGGUAAUACGUAGGGGGCAAGCGUUAUCCGGAUUUACUGGGUGUAAAGGGAGCGUAGACGGCGAUGCAAGUCUGAAGUGAAAGGCGGGGGGCCAACCCCCGGACUGCUUUGGAAACUGUAUGGCUGGAGUGCAGGAGAGGUAAGUGGAAUUCGUAGUGUAGCGGUGAAAUGCGUAGAUAUUAGGAGGAACACCAGUGGCGAAGGCGGCUUACUGGACUGUAACUGACGUUGAGGCUCGAAAGCGUGGGGAGCAAACAGGAUUAGAUACCCCUGUAGUC
RNAcentral lists this ribosomal RNA (443 nucleotides) under uncultured bacterium. Its description in RNAcentral is "partial 16S ribosomal RNA". It matches the Rfam family "Bacterial small subunit ribosomal RNA", at positions 338 to 795 of the family's 1533-position model. The record is from RNAcentral.